This 433-nucleotide ribosomal RNA is filed under the name uncultured bacterium. RNAcentral describes it as "partial 16S ribosomal RNA". It matches the Rfam family "Bacterial small subunit ribosomal RNA", at positions 29 to 507 of the family's 1533-position model. The record is from RNAcentral.
AACGAACGCUGGCGGCAUGCCUAACACAUGCAAGUCCAACGAGACCUUCGGGUCUAGUGGCGCACGGGUGCGUAACGCGUGGGAACCUGCCCUUAGGUUCGGAAUAACUCCCCGAAAGGGGUGCUAAUACCGGAUAAUGUCUUCGGACCAAAGAUUUAUCGCCUUUGGAUGGGCCCGCGUUGGAUUAGCUAGUUGGUAGGGUAAAAGCCUACCAAGGCGACGAUCCAUAGCUGGUCUGAGAGGAUGAUCAGCCACACUGGGACUGAGACACGGCCCAGACUCCUACGGGAAGCAGCAGUGGGGAAUAUUGGACAAUGGGCGAAAGCCUGAUCCAGCAAUGCCGCGUGAGUGAUGAAGGCCUUAGGGUUGUAAAGCUCUUUUACCCGGGAUGAUAAUGACAGUACCGGGAGAAUAAGCUCCGGCUAACUCCGUG